CCUUCGGGUUGUAAAGCCCUUUUGUUGGGAAAGAAAUCCAGCUGGCUAAUACCCGGUUGGGAUGACGGUACCCAAAGAAUAAGCACCGGCUAACUUCGUGCCAGCAGCCGCGGUAAUACGAAGGGUGCAAGCGUUACUCGGAAUUACUGGGCGUAAAGCGUGCGUAGGUGGUCGUUUAAGUCCGUUGUGAAAGCCCUGGGCUCAACCUGGGAACUGCAGUGGAUACUGGGCGACUAGAGUGUGGUANAGGGUAGCGGAAUUCCUGGUGUAGCAGUGAAAUGCGUAGAGAUCAGGAGGAACAUCCAUGGCGAAGGCAGCUACCUGGACCAACACUGACACUGAGGCACGAAAGCGUGGGGAGCAAACAGGAUUAGAUACCCUGGUAGUCCACGCCCUAAACGAUGCGAACUGGAUGUUGGGUGCAAUUUGGCACGCAGUAUCGAAGCUAACGCGUUAAGUUCGCCGCCUGGNGAGUACGGUCGCAAGA
RNAcentral lists this ribosomal RNA (487 nucleotides) under uncultured Pseudomonas sp. RNAcentral's name for it is "bacterial SSU rRNA". It matches the Rfam family "Bacterial small subunit ribosomal RNA", at positions 415 to 893 of the family's 1533-position model. The record is from RNAcentral. Lineage: Bacteria; Pseudomonadati; Pseudomonadota; Gammaproteobacteria; Pseudomonadales; Pseudomonadaceae.